This 87-nucleotide transfer RNA is filed under the name Oscillospiraceae bacterium. RNAcentral describes it as "tRNA-Leu". It matches the Rfam family "tRNA". Rfam says of the family: Transfer RNA (tRNA) molecules are approximately 80 nucleotides in length. Their secondary structure includes four short double-helical elements and three loops (D, anti-codon, and T loops). The record is from RNAcentral. Lineage: Bacteria; Bacillati; Bacillota; Clostridia; Eubacteriales; Oscillospiraceae.
GCACUCGUGGCGGAACUGGCAGACGCGCUAGAUUCAGGUUCUAGUCGGGGUUUCUCGGUGGAGGUUCAAGUCCUCUCGGGUGCACCA